CUUGCAUGUGUGUUCUUUAUAAAUAGGUGAUAGAAGGAGAGGCUGCUGUAAUUUUUCAACCAAUUUGUUUGGUUCUGACUGAUCAAAACCACUAUGUGUUCUGGCAAAUUAUAUAAAUUUUUAUGCAAGGUAGGAAAAACUUCACAAUCUCUUAUUAAGAAAAAUAUAAGUUGUAGUCAACAGAAUUUGAUAAUUUUGUAGAUAUUUUAUUAUGUGUCUAACAAAUGAAAAUGUAAUAACUUACCUUGUGAAUUUGUUUAUGUAUUUGUUUCUUACAAAGUGUUUUAUUAAAAUGAUGAUUUGGCAAAAAAUGUAAAAUAGUUUUAAAUACACCUUACUCAGUUGAACUUUUAUGUAUUUCCUUACUCAUAUUUUCUUUUUUUUUUCCAGGAGAAUUUUUUGUCUUUGAAGCCAGACUAUUUGUAACUACCUUGGACUCAAAAAUAAACUAAAAGCAGUUUAUCUGCCUUUAUUUGUUUACAUAUUUAUAAUUUACUAAGCCAUGUGAGGUCCUCAUGUCAUGCAAUAAAAGAGUGGUUAUCCACAAGAAUGAAACCAUUACUAUGGAAAAGCUUCUGGAUCUGUUUGUGGGGGAAAACCAGGUGUUCAGUUUGAGAAGAGAAUGACUGAGAGAUGAAUGGGAUUGAAUCAGGAAUUUUGUUGGUAUCUGUUUGAAGAAUUG
This 682-nucleotide long non-coding RNA is filed under the name Parus major (Great Tit). RNAcentral describes it as "lncRNA (ENSPMJG00000002614.1)". The record is from RNAcentral. Lineage: Eukaryota; Metazoa; Chordata; Aves; Passeriformes; Paridae.